UCCAAUUGGUUUUGGUUCUUAUUGGAGAUCAUAUACGAUACAAAGGACAAAAUAUCGAGUCAACAGUGGAUGAGGAAUCAUCUGCGGUUCCCAGGAGAAAGACUUUUGCUCCUCUAUGCCCCACAUGGUGAUUCAUGUUAUCUCUCUUUCCAUUUUUCAACUGAAAAAAAUAAUUGUAAGAUAGAACGGAUCCAACAAAAGUUUACCUUGCAGAUGCGGAGGAUCCUGCGGAUCCAUGUAUAAACUGUACGCACAUGGGCCCCGAGUAAUCUGGUACCGCGGAAUUACGAGUGCCACAUGUUUGAUAAAAAGUUGUUACGAAGA
RNAcentral lists this long non-coding RNA (324 nucleotides) under Vitis vinifera (wine grape). RNAcentral's name for it is "long non-coding RNA (VVIN_LNC005864)". Lineage: Eukaryota; Viridiplantae; Streptophyta; Magnoliopsida; Vitales; Vitaceae. The record is from RNAcentral.